UNCAAUUGGGAGACAGAGGCCUAUGAGGG
This 29-nucleotide non-coding RNA is filed under the name Mus musculus (house mouse). The record is from RNAcentral. Lineage: Eukaryota; Metazoa; Chordata; Mammalia; Rodentia; Muridae.